This is a long non-coding RNA of Girardinichthys multiradiatus, 1330 nucleotides long. RefSeq lists it as uncharacterized. The record is from RefSeq and is a predicted model, not a curated record. The transcript has 3 exons. NCBI's taxonomy places the organism in Eukaryota, Metazoa, Chordata, Actinopteri, Cyprinodontiformes, Goodeidae.
UCUCAAGUCAAGACCAGAAAGAAGAAAGCACAGUAUAUUUUGUUGGAAACUGGAUGGGAAAAAAAAGUUAGUUGCAAAAAAACAAGAAACAAUGAAAAAUGGAAAUGAAGAAAUGGAUGGCCAAUGUUUGGACAGCGACAAAGCUGACUGGUUUCACUUGGAGCACAGAGCACUUUUCUUCCCUCCAUCAUCCAGUUCUUGCAGAGGACACGUGGAAGAAUUUUUCAGUCGACAUGAAGUUUUUGAGUCCUGCAGGGAGUGUGAAAGAAAAGACAAAAAGUCAAGCUCUGCCUCAGCAUUAUGACUGGCUGCAAGAGAUCGUCUGGUCAAUAUACUGAACUGCAACAAUAACCAACAUUCCCUGAAGCAAUGAAAACAAGCCACAAUAUGUGUGUUGAUACUACAGAAAGAGAACAGACAGUCAGAAUCUGACUGACUAAAACAAGACAAAUUCAGCAGCUAAAAAAAAACUAAAUGCUUUUCCUUUUUAAUGGGAAGUAUUCUUAUUUUAUUCAAAAAUAUGUCAGUAAGUCUUUAUUCUUUGAAUCCAUGGAAACUGCAUGUAAAGAAGAUUUAAAGUAAAGUGUGGGUCUGUCAGUUUAAAGGUGAAUAAAACCUGGAUUAAUAAGGUGGGACCAUCAUUAUUGUAGCACGUUGAGCUGCCCAACUAAACACUUUCUGGUAUAUGCAAUAAGUGCAGUACAAAUGUUGAUUUAACAUCAUCAGACACAGGGGCAUAUGGUUUACCUGCAGGGAUCUGAGAAUUUGCAUUUCUUUAGGUCACCAUCUGGAGGCUGAAAUGCAAACCGUUCUGCUGAGCUGUGCAGAAAUGGUUCAUUAUUGUGAAUUAGGACAGCUUUGGGCUUUAAUUUAAUUAAACUGUGUUAUACUGACACCACUGCCAAGCUAAUUUAGUAAAACACCACACUGCAGGAAUAAAGUUCACACUUGUUUAGUCAGCAGUCAAGGAAGUUGGUUUCUAAGGCAAAGCGAACUAGAAACACAGUAAAAAUCUGUGUUUUAGCCAUCUGUCUGCAAUAAUUUAUCUCUUCUAAGAUACCCAUCUCCAAAAUGUUUUUUUUUUUAUUUCAUACACUGACAUGGGGUUCUGUAUUUUCUACUGCAGAGCCAUCAGAGACAAUAUAAAGCAAUAGCAAAAAUGUGUAAAAAUUCUUAAAUUUAAUAAACGUUUUAUUGCAGUUUCCUUAUCUAGCACUGAAAUUUGUAAAAACAAUAUCCAGCCUUUAAUAUAAGUACAUUACUCAAAUAAAAACAAAAACUCCAAUGUUAAGAAAUUCUUAUAAUUACAAAUUAUACUUUAAAUUUAUCA